AUUAACGAUAGUUUGGAGAACGAUGGAUAGAGGUUUCACUGUAUCCCCCACUAGCACCGUAUUUAAAGCUGAAGCAUGCUUGCUCUGUCUGCGUGCGGUGUAGUGGGCGUUCAGGUUUCAAACCCUGUCUCCUACCCCAGUGGCUGCCCAGUCUCGUCAGAGGUUAGGUUAGAUGGGUUGACAAAGGAAAUAAUACCCAGUUCUCUGUAUACACUAUUUAUCUUAUUAAGGAAGUAGCUGAAAGUAAUUAAUGCACGUGUCUAUCAUAAAAAAGUGUCUACACAUUGUGUUGGGCGUCAGUAUUUCAUAGAAAUCUGUUUUGUGUUUGUGCUGUACACAAAAUAUAGAUUGUAGACAACAAAACAGUUUGUAGUAUUAACAUUUUAUUUUGCCUUCCCUACGCUUCAGAAUGUUUUAAUUUUCUUAGAGUUGAGAAGUUUGAUUUAUGUGUUGUUUGAAGUCGUUCGGCACCGAGUCCCUUGGGCAAUCUUGUGACAAGUGUGAAAAACCCAGAGCACUUGUACUUGAAGUGAAAUGAUCAGAAUCAAAAAUAAAACAGUUUAGAUGUAUGUUAAUGUAAACUAUUAUCAGAAUCAAAUCCUGUGGUAGGCGUGGAAAAACUUGUGUUCUUCCGAAACUGGUACCUCCUUUUACUUCUGUUUUAUUUUGGCACAGGGAAACUUAGCAUUUCAUCAUGAAUGUAGGAGAUGUGGACUACGGUCUUCUUGAUAAUGACUGUAAAAGUUAUACCCUGAAGAUGGAGGCUGUGUUUUCCAGUGAAGUGUUGGUAAGCAUCUACAGGGUCCGGCAGGGAACUUGAUGGUUUUUGAAAUGAUAAUACAAAGUUAUAGUUUGAUAAAAAAACAAAAAAAUAUUUUUUUACUUAAAGAGAAAUAAAUGCCAUUUAUGAGCCGAUAAAAACCAAAUUUAGAAAGUUAAUUGUUGGAUUUAAAAAUGACGUCCUCCAAAUGAUGACCAUUUCUGCAAACACAUUCUUGCAGUCUGUUGGUGAAGUUCUGCAUUGCACGCUGUGUUAUAGUUAGAGAUACAUUCUAAGUCCAUCUUCAGGGCUGAAGUUCAGUCUUCUAUAUGUUGUUGCUGGGGACUUUUCUGGAGCUGAAAAAGCUAAAGUGUGAUGUGACUUUACUACUGCAUUUAGUGUUAAGGUGUCUGUUGUUUAGUAGCAUGGUGCUUAGGUCCAGUGAGAACUUUCCUGUUUUUAUUCUUGUGAUGUAUCCUUAAAUAAUAAUAGGCACACAUAUGUUUCUGAAAAAUGUGCCAGAAAGUGUAUCAGCUCUGAAUUUAUGUGCAGCAUUGAGUUUGUGUUUAUGUUUAUGUGUUUGAAUUAAACUUGUUAUAAAGUCUGUAUAUGUAAACAUUUGUCUGACAUAUUUCCUAUUCAGAAUGGUCUAAAACAAGGAGAUGCUUUAUUGCCAUUGCUUUAGAAUAUUCCUUUAGGAAGAUCCAAGAAAACCAGGUGCAACUGAAAUUGAAUGGAACAUUCCAGCUUUUGGUCUAUGCUGAUGAUUUAAAUCUAUUUGGGGAUAAAGAAAAACACAAGCUCUAAUUGAUACUAGUAAGGCGGUUGGUCCAGAGGUAAACAGAGAAAACCAUGUGUGUUGAUGAGCAUCUUCUGGCUUCUUGUGGCAUGUGGUCUAGUAGAAGUUUGCCGACGUGUCGGAGGUCCUUGCUGUCUCCAUCAUCAGGUCGACGAGUAAGCUGCGCAAGUGGAAAACGCUUUCCACUCGCUCGGCAGAAGAAUGAGAUGGAUGGGACAUGUGGCGCGCAUGGAUGGGGCAAGAAGUGUGCAGUGGGUAUUGAUCAGGAAGACUGAAGGGAAGAGCCUGCUUUGAAGGCCUAGACAUAGAUGAGAGGAUAAUAUGCGGGAUCUAUGGGAGAUAGGAGUUGAAGGCGACUGCAUUUUGUUGGCCCAGUACAGGGACCGGUGGAGGGCUUUUAUUAAUUCGGUGAUGAACUUAAGGGAUUCUGUAAGCCAUCUAGUUAGCUUGAGCCUUGGUGUUUGGCACAGAUGUCAUUUAUACAGAGCUGUGGGUAGAAAGCAGAGAUGAGUACAAGGUUCCUGCUAGUUACAUAACCCGUCUCACUGAAGUGUCCAUAGAUAACAUCGCUUUCGGGGAUAAUUGAAGUAGAGUGAAAUUUGAACGGAAGUAAGAAUUACAUGAGAUAAGUUUUGCAUUGUGUUGGAUAUAUCCAUAACGUUCAUUUUUUGUAUUAUAAAACGUAUUGAUAAGUUUCUUCAAUAAUCCCCAAGGUGUGUGUAACUACGCAAUUUUUUGUAUGCCAAAAAUAUCGAUCGUGGUAUUUGUACCUGCUGUUAUUCGAAUAGUGUUAAUCUAUUUUUUUAAUGAGACUGAAAUAGGUAUUAAGGUCACAUAUCUGACUUGUUGUACAGUAAGAAGCAUUGUCCGCGAUGUCAUGAUGUUGAGAUUUCUGGAAAUGCCAGUUCGAGCUUUAUAUAUUUAUCCAGGAAAUGUCAUAAUUGACUAUAUCCAACGACGAAACGUGUAGUAAAUUAAUUGAAACUAUGUUUAUAAUUAAGUUUUUAUGUUUGUACUGUCACAUUGAAAAUUUGAAGUGCCAUUGGGCAAAUUUGCUUUAGCAUUUUUAUCGAAUGAUGUGAAAACUGAAAGAAACUGGCAGUAAGUCAUUUGGUGAAGUUUUCGCGAUGUAAGUACGGGACUAUAAAUAAGUUGGAUCCAAGCUAAAGUAUUUGGGUAUGGAAUGUUUCACAUUGAGUGACUAAGCGCUAAACUUAUCCGUGGUCUUUUUCUGAAACAUACAGAUGUACCUUUCAUUCACAUGUUACAAGAAUGAGAUUUAUCAGAAUUUUUAAGGUGUAUUUGUUGAAGUUGUUUAUGUGUGUGAAAAGUACCAGAAGUAGUGAAAAAAGUGUGUAUCCUUUAUUUUAGAAAACCAAAAACAAUAAACAUGCAUCGUGUUCGGACAGUGUUGAACAAUUUGGUUCCUCUGGCACCAUUGAUUCAUAAUGUGGCAGGACCAGACCGUUUUGCAUCAUGGCUUCUGAGGUCUGGCAAAACAUCUUACACAGUGUUGGUGUCAUUUACAAGGCAUUAUAAUGCUCCUGUUCAAACAGAACCAUUUUUGAACGGUAGCUCAUCUGCAUACGUUGAAGAAAUGUACAAUGCUUGGCUGGCAGAUACUAAAAGUGUGCAUGUGCAGCAGUGCCUGAUGUCUUGAACUUGAAUGAUCCAGGUUGCAAGAACACUGAUGUUCCAACACGGUACUCUUCACCCCUCGGCCGUACAACACCAAACAGCACCUAAAAAUGUAAGACAAGAAAUUGCAAUAAAAGAGAUUUCAUUCCACGUUAUCUGUGAUGAUCAAGUGCCAUAAACACAUUCAUUGCUGGGCAUUUGAAUUCUAGCUAAACUUGCGGAUGGAAAAGCAGUGAUUUCAAUUAGAUAGGCAAAUGCGUGUACAGAAUGUAUGUCAAAAAUCAACAAAAUAUUUUGAUGAUUAGUUAUAAUUUAAUGAGUAAAUUUUGGUAGUGAAAGUAUUACAUAAACAAACAAAAUUAAUGGAAUUUUAAACAGUGUAUGAUAUACUGUGUUUAAAAAAUGCUACUAUAAAUGUGGGUUUCACAAUUUUUUGCUUGUUAUCAAAUAACAGGAUUAAACUCCUCACUGAUGCCGUUAUACCAAGUCUUGCAAUGUAUUAAAUAAUAAACAGAAUUGUGACAUAAUUUCAACAUUACUAUAAAUUAAAAAGAAACCGCACUGAAGCCUUAGGAUGUAUGGUAUUCAUGUUAACAUAAAGUAGUACACACAAAUCAUGCAGCAGUUGACUAUGAUUUUUUAAAUUAACACCAUCUAUCGACAAACAAUACAAAUCAGUAGAUUAAAAUUUAACCACAAGAUAAAGAAAAUGCUCCUGUAAUUAUGUAAACCCUACAGGAAUGGGAGAGAAAUGAGUAAGAUGGUAAUUUAUUAUUAAUGGCAAAGUCUGUUAUGUUGCUUACUAAUAUAACAAUAAUGGCUUAAAUCAUGUAUUUAUUUAAAUCUACAUUUAUUCAUAAAUUUUCAUAAAGUACUAUUAAUGAUGAUGUAUCAACUUUUAAAGUGGCUACAAAGUAAUGCUCAGAUUUUUUCACAGAAAUAUUUACAGUCAGUAAUUCAGACAAAUAUUUUGGUCUGUGCAGACCAUCGGAUUUUGGAUCACAAAUUUGCUUGCCAAAACAUAUUAUUGCAGUUUCAUUCUUUGUUUGUGCUAUACUAAAACUGAACGAAAUUGUUUAUGUUAUUUAUCGUUGAAGGUACCAGUCGAUUACGAAAUUGUUAGGAGGGUUUUGAAACGCACCUGCUCUAUAACGCGCAGAUCUUACUAUUGAUAUAACCUGCAUCUAAAAAUGUUGGUGUGAAGGUGAAUGCGAAAUGUUAACCACGUGGUGUCAUAACCAAGAAGUCCAUAAUCAGUAUUUUCGUAAAAUCUUUGCUGGUGUACACGUAUUUUUCGUGCCUUAACUCAGUUUUGUGAAACUUUACAAAAUCUCAGUUGAAUUUAAUAUUUCAUUAAUAGCUGAUAUGUCAGACGAAAUUUUUGUGAUAAGUCCUUUUUGAAGCAUUAGCAUAGGAGCAAAUGACAUUGUCAUAAAAUAGAACCAUUAAUAACAAUAACGCCAAAUGCUUGUUUGAAUACAUCAACGAAAUAGUACCGCAAGACGAAGUGAUUUGGUUACGUGGCUUUUGUAGGGGUUAUUGAGUGCACUAUUCGAAAAAUGUUUUAUUUUGGUGUUAAAACUAAGUUUUUGUUAAAUAAGCGGGCGUCUGUUGAAGUCUAGAGGCUACGUAAUAAUGUUUGUAUAUUGGCAAAAAUGACGAACAUUUAUAACAUAGAUCAUUUUGCUGUUUUGUUAUGUUGUGGUAUAUAAUAAAAAUGAGUGUAUGUCAGAAACACA
Non-coding RNA from Zootermopsis nevadensis, 4936 nucleotides. The record is from RefSeq and is a predicted model, not a curated record. Lineage: Eukaryota; Metazoa; Arthropoda; Insecta; Blattodea; Termopsidae.